GACGAACGCUGGCGGCGUGCCUAAUACAUGCAAGUAGAACGCACAGUUUAUACCGUAGCUUGCUACACCAUAGACUGUGAGUUGCGAACGGGUGAGUAACGCGUAGGUAACCUGCCUGGUAGCGGGGGAUAACUAUUGGAAACGAUAGCUAAUACCGCAUAAUAUUAAUUAUUGCAUGAUAAUUAAUUGAAAGGUGCAAUUGCACCACUACCAGAUGGACCUGCGUUGUAUUAGCUAGUAGGUGAGGUACGGCUCACCUAGGCGACGAUACAUAGCCGACCUGAGAGGGUGAUCGGCCACACUGGGACUGAGACACGGCCCAGACUCCUACGGGAGGCAGCAGUAGGGAAUCUUCGGCAAUGGACGAAAGUCUGACCGAGCAACGCCGCGUGAGUGAAGAAGGUUUUCGGAUCGUAAAGCUCUGUUGUAAGAGAAGAACGGGUGUGAGAGUGGAAAGUUCACACUGUGACGGUAUCUUACCAGAAAGGGACGGCUAACUACGUG
RNAcentral lists this ribosomal RNA (504 nucleotides) under uncultured bacterium. RNAcentral describes it as "partial 16S ribosomal RNA". It matches the Rfam family "Bacterial small subunit ribosomal RNA", at positions 28 to 507 of the family's 1533-position model. The record is from RNAcentral.